CCGACCGGCGCACGGGUGAGUAACGCGUAUGCAACUUACCUAUCAGAGGGGGAUAACCCGGCGAAAGUCGGACUAAUACCGCAUGAAGCAGGGGCCCCGCAUGGGGAUAUUUGCUAAAGAUUCAUCGCUGAUAGAUAGGCAUGCGUUCCAUUAGGCAGUUGGCGGGGUAACGGCCCACCAAACCGACGAUGGAUAGGGGUUCUGAGAGGAAGGUCCCCCACAUUGGUACUGAGACACGGCCAA
Molecule: ribosomal RNA, 243 nt
Filed under: uncultured bacterium
Lineage: Bacteria
Description: partial 16S ribosomal RNA
Rfam family: Bacterial small subunit ribosomal RNA
Source: RNAcentral